RNAcentral lists this ribosomal RNA (506 nucleotides) under uncultured bacterium. Its description in RNAcentral is "partial 16S ribosomal RNA". It matches the Rfam family "Bacterial small subunit ribosomal RNA", at positions 29 to 523 of the family's 1533-position model. The record is from RNAcentral.
AGUGAACGCUGGCGGUAGGCCUAACACAUGCAAGUCGAACGGCAGCACAGGAGAGCUUGCUCUCUGGGUGGCGAGUGGCGGACGGGUGAGGAAUACAUCGGAAUCUACUCUGUCGUGGGGGAUAACGUUGGGAGACUUACGCUAAUACCGCAUACGACCUACGGGCGAAAGCAGGGGACCUUCGGGCUUUGCUCGAUUGAAUGAGCCGAUGCCGGAUUAGCUAGUUGGCGGGGUAAAGGCACACCAAGGCGACGAUCCGUAGCUGGCCUGAGAGGAUGGUCAGCCACACAUGAACUGAGAGAUAGGCCAGACUGCUACGGGAGGCAGGAGUGGGGAAUAUUGGACAAAGGGCGCAAGCCUGACCCAGCCAUACCGCGUGGGUGAAGAAGGCCUUCGGGUUGUAAAGCCCUUUUGUUGGGAAAGAAAUCCAGCUGGCUAAUACCCGGUUGGGAUGACGGUACCCAAAGAAUAAGCACCGGCUAACUACGUGCCAGCAGCCGCAGUAA